RNAcentral lists this ribosomal RNA (253 nucleotides) under uncultured bacterium. RNAcentral's name for it is "partial 16S ribosomal RNA". It matches the Rfam family "Bacterial small subunit ribosomal RNA", at positions 524 to 776 of the family's 1533-position model. The record is from RNAcentral.
UACGAAGGGGGCUAGCGUUGUUCGGAAUUACUGGGCGUAAAGCGCACGUAGGCGGACAUUUAAGUCAGGGGUGAAAUCCCAGAGCUCAACUCUGGAACUGCCUUUGAUACUGGGUGUCUUGAGUAUGGAAGAGGUGAGUGGAAUUCCCAGUGUAGCGGUGAAAUGCGUAGAUAUUGGGAGGAACACCAGUGGCGAAGGCGGCUCACUGGACCGGAACUGACGCUGAGGCGCGAAAGCGUGGGGAGCAAACAGG